UUAUAAGAGACAGCAGCCGCCGCGGUAAAACGUAGGUGGCAAGCGUUGUCCGGAAUUAUUGGGCGUAAAGGGCUCGCAGGCGGUUUCUUAAGUCUGAUGUGAAAGCCCCCGGCUCAACCGGGGAGGGUCAUUGGAAACUGGGAAACUUGAGUGCAGAAGAGGAGAGUGGAAUUCCACGUGUAGCGGUGAAAUGCGUAGAGAUGUGGAGGAACACCAGUGGCGAAGGCGACUCUCUGGUCUGUAACUGACGCUGAGGAGCGAAAGCGUGGGGAGCGAACAGGAUUAGAUACCCCGGUAGUCCCUGUCUCUUAUAA
RNAcentral lists this ribosomal RNA (314 nucleotides) under uncultured bacterium. Its description in RNAcentral is "partial 16S ribosomal RNA". It matches the Rfam family "Bacterial small subunit ribosomal RNA", at positions 499 to 809 of the family's 1533-position model. The record is from RNAcentral.